Molecule: transfer RNA, 72 nt
Filed under: Pristimantis citriogaster (throated robber frog)
Lineage: Eukaryota; Metazoa; Chordata; Amphibia; Anura; Strabomantidae
Description: tRNA-Val
Rfam family: tRNA
About the family: Transfer RNA (tRNA) molecules are approximately 80 nucleotides in length.
Source: RNAcentral
UAGAGCAUAGCUUAAACCAAAGCAUUUCGCUUACACCGAAAAAAUGCCUGUUAAACCCAGACCUACUCUAAG